RNAcentral lists this ribosomal RNA (159 nucleotides) under Triticum aestivum (bread wheat). RNAcentral's name for it is "partial small subunit ribosomal RNA". The record is from RNAcentral. Lineage: Eukaryota; Viridiplantae; Streptophyta; Magnoliopsida; Poales; Poaceae.
AUGCAGAUGGUAUCAUCAGGCCGCACCGCGGUGAACAUUAAUGGGGAGAUCGGCCCAUUCUUCCCCAUGUUUUUUGGGGUGCGCCAGGGCGACCCCUUCUUCCCGUUCUUGUUUAACAUGGUUGUCGAUGCACUGGCGGCCAUCCUUCGGGCACUUUAG